RNAcentral lists this ribosomal RNA (253 nucleotides) under uncultured bacterium. RNAcentral describes it as "partial 16S ribosomal RNA". It matches the Rfam family "Bacterial small subunit ribosomal RNA", at positions 524 to 776 of the family's 1533-position model. The record is from RNAcentral.
UACGUAGGGUGCAAGCGUUAAUCGGAAUUACUGGGCGUAAAGCGUGCGCAGGCGGCUUUGCAAGACAGAUGUGAAAUCCCCGGGCUCAACCUGGGAACUGCAUUUGUGACUGCAUGGCUAGAGUACGGCAGAGGGGGAUGGAAUUCCGCGUGUAGCAGUGAAAUGCGUAGAUAUGCGGAGGAACACCGAUGGCAAAGGCAAUCCCCUGGGCCUGUACUGACGCUCAUGCACGAAAGCGUGGGGAGCAAACAGG